This 253-nucleotide ribosomal RNA is filed under the name uncultured bacterium. RNAcentral describes it as "partial 16S ribosomal RNA". It matches the Rfam family "Bacterial small subunit ribosomal RNA", at positions 524 to 776 of the family's 1533-position model. The record is from RNAcentral.
UACGUAGGGAGCAAGCGUUGUCCGGAAUCAUUGGGCGUAAAGCGCGCGUAGGCGGCCCUGUAAGUCCGUUGUGAAAGUCCAGGGCUCAACCCUGGGAUGCCGGUGGAUACUGCAGGGCUAGAGUACGGAAGAGGCGAGUGGAAUUCCCGGUGUAGCGGUGAAAUGCGCAGAUAUCGGGAGGAACACCUAUUGCGAAGGCAGCUCGCUGGGACGUUACUGACGCUGAGACGCGAAAGCGUGGGGAGCAAACAGG